CUAAGAUAUCUGCCGAAUCGUAAACAAUGUCGCGAGAGCCGCGGCAUCGUCGGGUACAUCAAUGUGUCGUCGGUCCUUUUUAAGCGGAUAGUUUCGUAGAAAGGGCCCGCGUGACCCUGGCCACGGGCGUUUCGGGACACGUGUCUCGAACGGCGGGAAAAGACAAAGAGACGUUAAAGUCAGUAUUAGUUGAGAAGUCGGAGAGGACGGAUGCAAAAGGUGUGCAGAGUGUGAAUUGAGAAGCGAGAGCGAGCGGGUGUAGAAGCCGAAGAGUGUGAAUCGGGAAGUCGAAAGCCG
Molecule: unclassified non-coding RNA, 297 nt
Filed under: Bombus terrestris (buff-tailed bumblebee)
Lineage: Eukaryota; Metazoa; Arthropoda; Insecta; Hymenoptera; Apidae
Description: misc RNA ENSBTSG00005024207.1
Source: RNAcentral